ACGAACGCUGGCGGCGUGCUUAACACAUGCAAGUCGAACGGUGAAGCGCCUUCCUUUUUGGUGGGUGUGGAUGAGUGGCGCACGGGUGAGUAACACGUGAGUAACCUGCCCCCUUCUUCUGGAUAACCGCAUGAAAGUGUGGCUAAUACGGGAUAUUCUGGGUCUGUCGCAUGAUGGGUCUGGGAAAGAUAUUGUUUCGGUGGGGGAUGGGCUCGCGGCCUAUCAGCUUGUUGGUGGGGUGAUGGCCUACCAAGGCGGUGACGGGUAGCCGGCCUGAGAGGGUGGACGGUCACACUGGGACUGAGACACGGCCCAGACUCCUACGGGAGGCAGCAGUGGGGAAUAUUGCACAAUGGGCGCAAGCCUGAUGCAGCGACGCCGCGGGAGGGAUGGAGGCCUUCGGGUUGUGAACCUCUUUCGCCAGUGAAGCAGGCCUGCCUCGUUUGUGGGUGGGUUGACGGUAGCUGGAUAAGAAGCGCCGGCUAACUACGUG
This 493-nucleotide ribosomal RNA is filed under the name uncultured bacterium. RNAcentral's name for it is "partial 16S ribosomal RNA". It matches the Rfam family "Bacterial small subunit ribosomal RNA", at positions 29 to 507 of the family's 1533-position model. The record is from RNAcentral.